Molecule: transfer RNA, 86 nt
Filed under: Deltaproteobacteria bacterium ADurb.Bin207
Lineage: Bacteria; Deltaproteobacteria
Description: tRNA-Ser
Rfam family: tRNA
About the family: Transfer RNA (tRNA) molecules are approximately 80 nucleotides in length.
Source: RNAcentral
GGAGGAGUGGCCGAGUGGUCGAAGGCAGCGGUUUUGAAAACCGCCGUACCGCAAGGUACCGGGGGUUCGAAUCCCUUCUCCUCCGC